This 239-nucleotide ribosomal RNA is filed under the name uncultured bacterium. Its description in RNAcentral is "partial 16S ribosomal RNA". It matches the Rfam family "Bacterial small subunit ribosomal RNA", at positions 57 to 305 of the family's 1533-position model. The record is from RNAcentral.
GCAAGUCGUACGAGAAAGUCACUUCGGUGUGAGUACAGUGGCGCACGGGUGAGUAACACGUGGGUGACCUACCCUAUUGUGGGGGAUAACUCGAAGAAAUUCGAGCUAAUACCGCAUAAGUUGGAAACAAGAAAGAAUGCUUCGGCAUUUGCGAUAGGAUGGGCCCGCGCUACAUUAGUUUGAUGGUGGGGUAAUGGCCUACCAUGGCUACGAUCUAUAGCUGGUUUGAGAAGAUGAGC